RNAcentral lists this ribosomal RNA (590 nucleotides) under uncultured Burkholderia sp. RNAcentral describes it as "bacterial SSU rRNA". It matches the Rfam family "Bacterial small subunit ribosomal RNA", at positions 418 to 1003 of the family's 1533-position model. Lineage: Bacteria; Pseudomonadati; Pseudomonadota; Betaproteobacteria; Burkholderiales; Burkholderiaceae. The record is from RNAcentral.
UCGGGUUGUAAAGCACUUUUGUCCGGAAAGAAAACUUCUGCCCUAAUACGGUGGGAGGAUGACGGUACCGGAAGAAUAAGCACCGGCUAACUACGUGCCAGCAGCGCGGUAAUCGUAGGGUGCGAGCGUUAAUCGGAAUUACUGGGCGUAAAGCGUGCGCAGGCGGUUCGUUAAGACAGAUGUGAAAUCCCCGGGCUUAACCUGGGAACUGCAUUUGUGACUGGCGAGCUAGAGUAUGGCAGAGGGGGGUAGAAUUCCACGUGUAGCAGUGAAAUGCGUAGAGAUGUGGAGGAAUACCGAUGGCGAAGGCAGCCCCCUGGGCCAAUACUGACGCUCAUGCACGAAAGCGUGGGGAGCAAACAGGAUUAGAUACCCUGGUAGUCCACGCCCUAAACGAUGUCAACUAGUUGUUGGGGAUUCAUUUCCUUAGUAACGUAGCUAACGCGUGAAGUUGACCGCCUGGGGAGUACGGUCGCAAGAUUAAAACUCAAAGGAAUUGACGGGGACCCGCACAAGCGGUGGAUGAUGUGGAUUAAUUCGAUGCAACGCGAAAAACCUUACCUACCCUUGACAUGGUCGGAACCCUGCUG